Callithrix jacchus (white-tufted-ear marmoset) is the source of this 3470-nucleotide long non-coding RNA. RefSeq lists it as uncharacterized. The record is from RefSeq and is a predicted model, not a curated record. NCBI's taxonomy places the organism in Eukaryota, Metazoa, Chordata, Mammalia, Primates, Cebidae.
UUCCCUGGGGGCGAUAUAAGCGGCUGACCACGCGUCCCAUCUCUUCUAGUGGCAGCCUGGAAAGGACGGGGGUGGGGGGAGCUUGUCCCUGGAAGGGUCAGGAGCGGGAGUUGGCUGGGAGCGGGGAUCCCAGGUCCUAGUCCCUGAGCUUAGUCUUUGGGGAAGGGGUUUCUGAGAGUCCUUUCAGUACUGAACACUUUUUACACGACAGGACCACGUCUUACAGCCCUGAUGAGAGGUGGAGUUACCCCAUUUUACAUGGGAGGAAACUGAGACUCAGAGAGAAAGAAAGCCCCUGCCCUGGACCUUUCGACUAGAAUCUAAAAGCUAGCUGACCCUAAUGUCCCAUGGCUCCCUCCUGGCGAAACUGGGGGAAACCAAAGGCUAGAGGAGCAAGGAAGUAAUGGAACUAUGAUCCUAAUUCCAUAAAAAUAAGCGGAAGAAAAAAGUUUGUAAGAAUAUACAACAAGGUGUUGGCAGUGGUUUUCUUCCCAGGAAUGUGAUUAUGGAAAGUUUUUACUUUCAGUAUUCCUGUAACUUUUGAGGUUUUUUUAAACAAUCAUAUGUUGCUUCUCUAAGGUUUAAUUUUGUUAACCAGAGUAUAUGUUAGAUAUUCUCUUUCUACUCAUAUUACUUUUACAAUCAUACUAAAACACUAACUAUAUUCCCAUUUUAUUUUUAAUACCUAAUUGUUCUGAAUAUCCUGAAAAUCUCAGAAAAUUUCCAUAAGCACAAAGAAGAAAAUAAAAAUCACCAGUAAUUCCAGCACUCAGAAAUAACCACUGUUCACAAUUUAUUGUAAUUUUUUAAUUAGGAAAAAAUUAUGUUGAAGGAAAAAAGCAAACACCAUAACAUACAUGGAAAAAAUCUGAAAAGAUACACAUUAAAAUAUGAAGGCAGGCAACAUUUGGAGCGACUGUUAUUUUCUUCUUAUUGCUUACCAUCUUAUUUUUCUACAAUGAAAGUGUGUGUGUUUGUGUGUUAUGUUUAAAAAGUGAAACAGGAGCCAACACUUAGGGCUGAUCAGUAAGAGAUCAGAGGCCCCAGCCUUUGAGUUCAUCAGCAUGGUAAGAAUCUGUGGACAGGUGUGGCUGUGAGAGCUAGGAUGAAACUGGCAAGGCUGUGACUACAGGUGGCCCUGAUUGGACCAUGUGUGGAAGGAGUCUGUGGUCACUGAUGGACCACAGUGUGGGAAAGCUCUAAAUCCUGGGCUUCCAUCCCAGCUCCACUGCUGACUUGCUGACCACUGCAAAUAAUUUCAUUGCCCACCACUCCAGAUAAGUGGGCAGCAAGUGAAACCCAAAUUCACUUAGACCCACUUAGUCCUGAUCCUGGCAGGAGAAAAUGAUGGCCCUGGUGUGGCCAUGGCCAGGAACACUCUGGUGGUCCCUGACUAUUUCCCAGGCUGGGACCUAGAAGUUGAGGCAGGGUGGUUCAUACUCCUCCCCAGAGGAACUGGGGAUUGGGUAGACACUCUGUGUUAUUAAUGUCCCCUAGGAAGCAGGCAGGGCAAGCAUUGGUGUGUUGGUUUUUUAAAUGGGAAACAAAAACAGAGACAGCUACAUCCCAGAAGCCUCCUUGGCUUUAUGAGAUCUGAUUAGGGUGCCCUAGAGUUUAGGGCCAAGGUGCUAUGGGAUGGUGUUAAGAGCCUGGCCUUUGGAGUCAGGUAAAUCUCCUAGUAUGUAACUUUUGGCAAAUCCUGUUUCUUCUCCUGUAAAAUGGGGAUGUCCCACCUACUUCCUAGGGCUGUCGUAAAGAUUACAUAAAAUAAUCCAUGUUACGGGGAAGUUAGCAAGCAACUUUCACAGACCCUAACGGGAAUUAAAGAAAGGGUCCCUGCCUCUGCCCACAGCCAAGCAAGCACUGCCCUUCCCCAGCUCAAUCUGGCCUGUAACUCAGUCCCCAGGCCAGGGAGACCUGGAUCUUGUUCCUGGGCAAUCUGGGGAAUAACAGUGUCAGAGCCAGAAGAGAUUUAGGAAUCAUUCUAGUCCAGUAUCUGUCUUUGCACAGGUGUGUGGACUGAGGCCCAGAGAGAAAAGGUAUAUAUCAACCCAGUAUGUGACAGCCUGAUCUCCAGACUCAGGAACCUGGUCCUUUCCUCUUGUAGUUAGAUACCCUGGUCCAGGAUGAAACCCUUCUCCUCAAACCUCUGGCUUGGAGCUGCUAGAAUAGGAAUUGGGAGAAGGGGGCCAAGCCAUCUCUCCAGCACUGGCCCAAGCCUCGUCCCUGGCAACUGGGGGGGAUAAGUCCCCAGACCAAUGAGAGCUGUCCAAAGGUGGAGUCGGCGGGCCCCCUUAUGAAAACCAUCUCUAGGAUUCACUGAGUGCCGCCUGGCUUUACAACACAUCAGCUCAUCUAUCUUUGGGAAGGUAUCCUAUCCUUAAGGCCAUUUUACGGAUAAGGAAACGUUGUUGCAAAGUAUGUUUCUGCCUCCUUCUGAUUCCUAAGCAAAAGAUCCUGGAAGUGCAAGAUCUGUGCGCUGCUCCACCCCCAUGCUGCCUGCGGGGCGGUACUGGGAAGGCCCAGUCGGUAGAGGAGUGCCAAACUCCUCACCAGUCGACAGCUGGCGCUUACAGGAGAAGCAGGCGAAGCAGGCCAGGUGGUAGGCGUUGCCGCGAGCUCUCCGCACCCAGUCGCUGGCGUAGAUCUGUCGGCCACAGCGGGCACACUUGGUCCCGAAUCGGCUGCAGGUGGAGAGGACAGGCACGGGGUGGCGAGACUCAGACAGGCCAACCUUUCCCCUUCCACCCACACUGGCCGCCAGCUCCCAGGCUCGGAUGCACCAACCCUCUAUACCUAGUCCCAGCUAGGAGGUGAACUGGUGAGGAAAAUGGGGACCAGAGAGGCAAAGUAACUUGCACAAGGUCACAUGGCUUGCAAUGACAGAAACCCUAGCCAUCCUGACUCCGGAGAUGAAUAUAAGCUAUAGCCCCAGGUGUACAGAAUGCAGUUUCUUAGAAGAACAGACAGAUAAGCACUUACUGGCUUUGUGACCCUGGGCAAACUGUUUAACUCUGAGUUCUCAUUUUCCUUGUACUGCACUGAACUAGAUGACAACAGCAAUGACCACUACUGUUUGUUCAGAGCUUGCACUCUGCCAAGUACCCAGCAAGUUCUGGAGCUGUGACAUUCUAUUAAUAAUACUAAAUGUUAAAAAGACAAAAAUAAAAAUAAAAAGCCUGAAUCGAAUGUCUUCUUACCCCUUAAGCCUUCCUUGAUUCUACCUCUUCCCCUUCUCCCUUCCAGUUUUGUAGUCUGGCAAUUUGGGUGCAGCUGCCUCCAACACUAGACUGGGAGCCCCUCCAGAAGGGAGCAGAGUCUGGUUUAUCCCAUCCUAGAAGUCAGUCCAGGGCCUGAGCCAGGGCACCAGGGAAGGUGUGUUCUUUAAAGUGGAUGACUCACUUGCCACUCUGUCCCAACCCUGGCACCCUGUUUCCUCUGGUACACCCUCUAUUUCAGAGAAUGGUGCC